GCGAGUUCAGCUCUCUAAAACCAAUGUGAAAGCACCCACAGCGUUGCUUCGGCGGGGUAACUCCCGCCGGCAGUAUCAAACUCUGUAGUCAUUGUAUCUCUGAGUAAACUUUUAAUAAGUCA
Molecule: unclassified non-coding RNA, 122 nt
Filed under: soil metagenome
Description: partial internal transcribed spacer 1
Source: RNAcentral